GGGUUGUGAGGUUAAGCGACUAAGCGUACACGGUGGAUGCCCUGGCAGUCAGAGGCGAUGAAGGACGUGCUAAUCUGCGAUAAGCGUCGGUAAGGUGAUAUGAACCGUUAUAACCGGCGAUUUCCGAAUGGGGAAACCCAGUGUGAUUCGUCACACUAUCAUUACGUGAAUACAUAGCGUAAUGAAGCGAACCGGGGGAACUGAAACAUCUAAGUACCCCGAGGAAAAGAAAUCAACCGAGAUUCCCCCAGUAGCGGCGAGCGAACGGGGAGCAGCCCAGAGUCUGAAUCAGCUUGUGUGUUAGUGGAACGGUCUGGAAAGUCCGACGGUACAGGGUGAUAGUCCCGUACACCAAAAUGCACAGGUUGUGAACUCGAAGAGUAGGGCGGGACACGUGGUAUCCUGUCUGAAUAUGGGGGGACCAUCCUCCAAGGCUAAAUACUCCUGACUGACCGAUAGUGAACCAGUACCGUGAGGGAAAGGCGAAAAGAACCCCGGCGAGGGGAGUGAAAAAGAACCUGAAACCGUGUACGUACAAGCAGUGGGAGCCUCUUUAUGGGGUGACUGCGUACCUUUUGUAUAAUGGGUCAGCGACUUAUAUUCUGUAGCAAGGUUAACCGUAUAGGGGAGCCGAAGGGAAACCGAGUCUUAACUGGGCGUUAAGUUGCAGGGUAUAGACCCGAAACCCGGUGAUCUAGCCAUGGGCAGGUUGAAGGUUGGGUAACACUAACUGGAGGACCGAACCGACUAAUGUUGAAAAAUUAGCGGAUGACUUGUGGCUGGGGGUGAAAGGCCAAUCAAACCGGGAGAUAGCUGGUUCUCCCCGAAAGCUAUUUAGGUAGCGCCUCGUGAAUUCAUCUUCGGGGGUAGAGCACUGUUUCGGCUAGGGGGUCAUCCCGACUUACCAACCCGAUGCAAACUGCGAAUACCGAAGAAUGUUAUCACGGGAGACACACGGCGGGUGCUAACGUCCGUCGUGAAGAGGGAAACAACCCAGACCGCCAGCUAAGGUCCCAAAGUCAUGGUUAAGUGGGAAACGAUGUGGGAAGGCACAGACAGCCAGGAUGUUGGCUUAGAAGCAGCCAUCAUUUAAAGAAAGCGUAAUAGCUCACUGGUCGAGUCGGCCUGCGCGGAAGAUGUAACGGGGCUAAACCAUGCACCGAAGCUGCGGCAGCGACACUAUGUGUUGUUGGGUAGGGGAGCGUUCUGUAAGCCGUUGAAGGUGUACUGUGAGGUAUGCUGGAGGUAUCAGAAGUGCGAAUGCUGACAUAAGUAACGAUAAUGCGGGUGAAAAACCCGCACGCCGGAAGACCAAGGGUUCCUGUCCAACGUUAAUCGGGGCAGGGUGAGUCGACCCCUAAGGCGAGGCCGAAAGGCGUAGUCGAUGGGAAACAGGUUAAUAUUCCUGUACUUGGUGUUACUGCGAAGGGGGGACGGAGAAGGCUAUGUUAGCCGGGCGACGGUUGUCCCGGUUUAAGCAUGUAGGCGGAGGUUCCAGGUAAAUCCGGUACCUUUUAACGCUGAGGUGUGAUGACGAGGCACUACGGUGCUGAAGUAACAAAUGCCCUGCUUCCAGGAAAAGCCUCUAAGCAUCAGGUAACACGAAAUCGUACCCCAAACCGACACAGGUGGUCAGGUAGAGAAUACCAAGGCGCUUGAGAGAACUCGGGUGAAGGAACUAGGCAAAAUGGUGCCGUAACUUCGGGAGAAGGCACGCUGAUAUGUAGGUGAAGUGAUUUACUCAUGGAGCUGAAAUCAGUCGAAGAUACCAGCUGGCUGCAACUGUUUAUUAAAAACACAGCACUGUGCAAACACGAAAGUGGACGUAUACGGUGUGACGCCUGCCCGGUGCCGGAAGGUUAAUUGAUGGGGUUAUCCGUAAGGAGAAGCUCUUGAUCGAAGCCCCGGUAAACGGCGGCCGUAACUAUAACGGUCCUAAGGUAGCGAAAUUCCUUGUCGGGUAAGUUCCGACCUGCACGAAUGGCGUAAUGAUGGCCAGGCUGUCUCCACCCGAGACUCAGUGAAAUUGAACUCGCUGUGAAGAUGCAGUGUACCCGCGGCAAGACGGAAAGACCCCGUGAACCUUUACUAUAGCUUGACACUGAACACUGGUCCUUGAUGUGUAGGAUAGGUGGGAGGCUUUGAAGUGUGGACGCCAGUCUGCAUGGAGCCAUCCUUGAAAUACCACCCUUUAAUGGCUGGUGUUCUAACGUGGACCCGUAAUCCGGGUUGCGGACAGUGUCUGGUGGGUAGUUUGACUGGGGCGGUCUCCUCCUAAAGAGUAACGGAGGAGCACGAAGGUUAGCUAAUCCUGGUCGGACAUCAGGAGGUUAGUGCAAAGGCAUAAGCUAGCUUGACUGCGAGAGUGACGGCUCGAGCAGGUGCGAAAGCAGGUCUUAGUGAUCCGGUGGUUCUGAAUGGAAGGGCCAUCGCUCAACGGAUAAAAGGUACUCCGGGGAUAACAGGCUGAUACCGCCCAAGAGUUCAUAUCGACGGCGGUGUUUGGCACCUCGAUGUCGGCUCAUCACAUCCUGGGGCUGAAGUAGGUCCCAAGGGUAUGGCUGUUCGCCAUUUAAAGUGGUACGCGAGCUGGGUUUAGAACGUCGUGAGACAGUUCGGUCCCUAUCUGCCGUGGGCGCUGGAGAAUUGAGGGGGGCUGCUCCUAGUACGAGAGGACCGGAGUGGACGCAUCACUGGUGUUCGGGUUGUCAUGCCAAUGGCAUUGCCCGGUAGCUAAAUGCGGAAGAGAUAAGUGCUGAAAGCAUCUAAGCACGAAACUUGCCCCGAGAUGAGUUCUCCCUGAGACUAUAAGUCUCCUGAAGGAACGUUAAAGACGAUGACGUUGAUAGGUCGGGUGUGUAAGCGUAGCGAUACGUUGAGCUAACCGAUACUAAUGAACCGUGAGGCUUAACCUUACAACGCCGAAG
RNAcentral lists this ribosomal RNA (2927 nucleotides) under Citrobacter freundii. Its description in RNAcentral is "23S ribosomal RNA". It matches the Rfam family "Bacterial large subunit ribosomal RNA". The record is from RNAcentral. Lineage: Bacteria; Pseudomonadati; Pseudomonadota; Gammaproteobacteria; Enterobacterales; Enterobacteriaceae.